UAAGGGAUGUCAUCUGGGCCCAUGCA
This 26-nucleotide non-coding RNA is filed under the name Homo sapiens (human). Lineage: Eukaryota; Metazoa; Chordata; Mammalia; Primates; Hominidae. The record is from RNAcentral.